This is a long non-coding RNA of Pantherophis guttatus, 252 nucleotides long. RefSeq lists it as uncharacterized. NCBI's taxonomy places the organism in Eukaryota, Metazoa, Chordata, Lepidosauria, Squamata, Colubridae. The record is from RefSeq and is a predicted model, not a curated record.
CUGAAAAUACCCCUCCCAUUCCUCACUUUGGUUCUCCCAUAACCUGCAUCCAUAAGCAGCUUGAAAGCAGGCUCUUCACUUCUGGAGAUGGCCAGAAACUGUGACCCCUACAGCAUUCUGGGACUGAGUGUGAUAAACCUGGAGGAUUUCACAGCUGGUUCAAGCAACUCCUAUCAACCAUCAACCAGCAUUCCAAACAUCAUACGCUGAAGAUAGCCAGCCGGCUACAUUGAUCCAAACACUCAUGAUUUC